This 253-nucleotide long non-coding RNA is filed under the name Elaeis guineensis (African oil palm). RNAcentral describes it as "long non-coding RNA (EGUI_LNC018793)". Lineage: Eukaryota; Viridiplantae; Streptophyta; Magnoliopsida; Arecales; Arecaceae. The record is from RNAcentral.
GGGUUAUGCGUCAUUGAACCUAGAUGAAGCCUUCCUCUUUCAGAAAGGAUUUAUAUCAUAUCAAAUUAUCAAUGAGCCCAAAUAUUUUAUCAAUGAUUUUAAUAUUAAAUUAAAUAAAAUCUUAUGCUAAUUAAGAAAUAGUUUUAUCCUCCUUAACCUAAUUUAUUUGGAAAGAGUGUUUCGCAAAACAAUUAGGGAGUGUUUGAUUGGAGAGAGUGGAGGUGUAGAAUUGGAAUCAAAAUGGAUGACUCCC